RNAcentral lists this ribosomal RNA (844 nucleotides) under Staphylococcus sp. M_Sw_oHS_06/11_11_2(1). RNAcentral describes it as "bacterial SSU rRNA". It matches the Rfam family "Bacterial small subunit ribosomal RNA", at positions 47 to 872 of the family's 1533-position model. The record is from RNAcentral. Lineage: Bacteria; Bacillati; Bacillota; Bacilli; Caryophanales; Staphylococcaceae.
CCUAAUACAUGCAAGUCGAGCGAACAGACGAGGAGCUUGCUCCUCUGACGUUAGCGGCGGACGGGUGAGUAACACGUGGAUAACCUACCUAUAAGACUGGGAUAACUUCGGGAAACCGGAGCUAAUACCGGAUAACAUGUUGAACCGCAUGGUUCAACAGUGAAAGACGGUCUUGCUGUCACUUAUAGAUGGAUCCGCGCCGCAUUAGCUAGUUGGUAAGGUAACGGCUUACCAAGGCAACGAUGCGUAGCCGACCUGAGAGGGUGAUCGGCCACACUGGAACUGAGACACGGUCCAGACUCCUACGGGAGGCAGCAGUAGGGAAUCUUCCGCAAUGGGCGAAAGCCUGACGGAGCAACGCCGCGUGAGUGAAGAAGGUCUUCGGAUCGUAAAACUCUGUUAUUAGGGAAGAACAAAUGUGUAAGUAACUAUGCACGUCUUGACGGUACCUAAUCAGAAAGCCACGGCUAACUACGUGCCAGCAGCCGCGGUAAUACGUAGGUGGCAAGCGUUAUCCGGAAUUAUUGGGCGUAAAGCGCGCGUAGGCGGUUUUUUAAGUCUGAUGUGAAAGCCCACGGCUCAACCGUGGAGGGUCAUUGGAAACUGGAAAACUUGAGUGCAGAAGAGGAAAGUGGAAUUCCAUGUGUAGCGGUGAAAUGCGCAGAGAUAUGGAGGAACACCAGUGGCGAAGGCGACUUUCUGGUCUGUAACUGACGCUGAUGUGCGAAAGCGUGGGGAUCAAACAGGAUUAGAUACCCUGGUAGUCCACGCCGUAAACGAUGAGUGCUAAGUGUUAGGGGGUUUCCGCCCCUUAGUGCUGCAGCUAACGCAUUAAGCACUCCGC